RNAcentral lists this ribosomal RNA (438 nucleotides) under Triticum aestivum (bread wheat). RNAcentral's name for it is "partial small subunit ribosomal RNA". Lineage: Eukaryota; Viridiplantae; Streptophyta; Magnoliopsida; Poales; Poaceae. The record is from RNAcentral.
AUGAUUGGGACAUUCUGGAAUGUUAGAGGUCUUAAUGGCUCUUAUAAGAGUACCAGAGUGCAAGAGCUUAUUAAAGCUUGUAGCCCAGAUUUUAUUUGUUUGCCUGAAACAAAAAAAGCCAACUUCACCAUCCCACAACUAGAGGCCAUUGAUUCUAGGAGUGGUUUUGUGUGGAAUUGGCUUCCUGCUGUGGGCACUGCUGGAGGUGUCCUAGUAGGUGUUAAAGAAGACCGUUAUGACAUUAUCUAGUGUGAGAUAGGUACCUUUUGCAUUUCUUGUAUUUUGAAAUUUAAACACAAUGACAUUAAGUGGAGACUUAUAUCUGUCUAUGGCUCUGCUUACGAUGAGUUCAUACUAGAUUUCCUUAAUGAACUCAAUAGUGUCCUUGCUAGUUGGUCAGGCCCUACACUAGUAGGGGGUGACUUUAAUUUGGUUAGA